RNAcentral lists this ribosomal RNA (138 nucleotides) under Phytopseudomonas flavescens. Its description in RNAcentral is "Pseudomonas flavescens 23S rRNA. Bacterial LSU". It matches the Rfam family "Bacterial large subunit ribosomal RNA", at positions 1 to 132 of the family's 2925-position model. Lineage: Bacteria; Pseudomonadati; Pseudomonadota; Gammaproteobacteria; Pseudomonadales; Pseudomonadaceae. The record is from RNAcentral.
AUAUGGUCAAGUGAAGAAGCGCAUACGGUGGAUGCCUUGGCAGUCAGAGGCGAUGAAAGACGUGAUAGCCUGCGAUAAGCUCCGGUUAGGUGGCAAAUAACCGUAUGACCCGGAGAUUUCUGAAUGGGGGAACCCACU